UUAUAUAUUGCUCGAUUUUUCAGUC
RNAcentral lists this non-coding RNA (25 nucleotides) under Drosophila melanogaster (fruit fly). The record is from RNAcentral. Lineage: Eukaryota; Metazoa; Arthropoda; Insecta; Diptera; Drosophilidae.